AUACGGAGGGUGCAAGCGUUGUUCGGAAUUAUUGGGCGUAAAGAGCAUGUAGGCGGACUGUUAAGUCUGGUGUGAAAGCCCGGGGCUCAACCCCGGAAGUGUAUUAGAUACUGGCAGUCUUGAGUAUGGGAGAGGAAAGUGGAAUUCCGAGUGUAGGAGUGAAAUCCGUAGAUAUUCGGAGGAACACCAGUGGCGAAGGCGGCUUUCUGGACCAAUACUGACGCUGAGAUGCGAAAGCGUGGGGAGCGAACAGGAUUAGAAACCCUUGUAGUCC
This 274-nucleotide ribosomal RNA is filed under the name uncultured bacterium. Its description in RNAcentral is "partial 16S ribosomal RNA". It matches the Rfam family "Bacterial small subunit ribosomal RNA", at positions 523 to 796 of the family's 1533-position model. The record is from RNAcentral.